RNAcentral lists this ribosomal RNA (429 nucleotides) under Gemmatimonadota bacterium. Its description in RNAcentral is "Gemmatimonadetes bacterium partial 16S ribosomal RNA". It matches the Rfam family "Bacterial small subunit ribosomal RNA", at positions 355 to 776 of the family's 1533-position model. The record is from RNAcentral. Lineage: Bacteria; Pseudomonadati; Gemmatimonadota.
UAGGGAAUCUUCGGCAAUGGACGAAAGUCUGCCCGAGCAACGCCGCGUGAGUGAAGAAGGUUUUCGGAUCGUAAAACUCUGUUGUUAGAGAAGAACAAGGACGUUAGUAACUGAACGUCCCCUGACGGUAUCUAACCAGAAAGCCACGCCUAACUACGUGCCAGCAGCCGCGGUAAUACGUAGGUGGCAAGCGUUGUCCGGAUUUAUUGGGCGUAAAGCGAGCGCAGGCGGUUUCUUAAGUCUGAUGUGAAAGCCCCCGGCUCAACCGGGGAGGGUCAUUGGAAACUGGGAGACUUGAGUGCAGAAGAGGAGGGUGGAAUUCCAUGUGUAGCGGUGAAAUGCGUAGAUAUAUGGAGGAACACCAGUGGCGAAGGCGGCUCUCUGGUCUGUAACUGACGCUGAGGCUCGAAAGCGUGGGGAGCAAACAGG